UACGGAGGGUGCGAGCGUUGUCCGGAUUUAUUGGGUUUAAAGGGUGCGUAGGCGGCCGCGUAAGUCUGGGGUGAAAGCCCGUUGCUCAACAACGGAACUGCCCUGGAAACUGCGCGGCUUGAGUCCAGACGAGGUUGGCGGAAUGGGCGGUGUAGCGGUGAAAUGCAUAGAUACCGUCCAGAACCCCGAUUGCGAAGGCAGCUGACUAGGCUGGUACUGACGCUGAGGCACGAAAGCGUGGGGAGCGAACAGGAUUAGAUACCCUGGUAGUCC
Molecule: ribosomal RNA, 273 nt
Filed under: uncultured bacterium
Lineage: Bacteria
Description: partial 16S ribosomal RNA
Rfam family: Bacterial small subunit ribosomal RNA
Source: RNAcentral